This 253-nucleotide ribosomal RNA is filed under the name uncultured bacterium. Its description in RNAcentral is "partial 16S ribosomal RNA". It matches the Rfam family "Bacterial small subunit ribosomal RNA", at positions 524 to 776 of the family's 1533-position model. The record is from RNAcentral.
UACGGGAGUGGCAAGCGUUAUCCGGAAUUAUUGGGCGUAAAGCGUCCGCAGGCGGCAUUGUAAAUCUGUCGAUAAAGCGUGGAGCUCAACUCCAUUUCAGCGAUGGAAUCUAUAAGGCUUGAGUGUGGUAGGGGCAGAGGGAAGUCCCGGUGUAGCGGUGAAAUGCGUAGAUAUCGGGAAGAACACCAGUGGCGAAGGCGAUCUGCUGGGCCAUAACUGACGCGCAUGGACGAAAGCCAGGGGAGCGAAAGGG